Molecule: ribosomal RNA, 492 nt
Filed under: uncultured bacterium
Lineage: Bacteria
Description: partial 16S ribosomal RNA
Rfam family: Bacterial small subunit ribosomal RNA
Source: RNAcentral
AGUGAACGCUGGCGGCAGGCCUAACACAUGCAAGUCGAACGGCAGCACAGUAAGAGCUUGCUCUUACGGGUGGCGAGUGGCGGACGGGUGAGGAAUACAUCGGAAUCUACUUUUUCGUGGGGGAUAACGUAGGGAAACUUACGCUAAUACCGCAUACGACCUACGGGUGAAAGCAGGGGAUCUUCGGACCUUGCGCGAUUGAAUGAGCCGAUGUCGGAUUAGCUAGUUGGCGGGGUAAAGGCCCACCAAGGCGACGAUCCGUAGCUGGUCUGAGAGGAUGAUCAGCCACACUGGAACUGAGACACGGUCCAGACUCCUACGGGAGGCAGCAGUGGGGAAUAUUGGACAAUGGGGGCAAGCCUGAUCCAGCCAUACCGCGUGGGUGAAGAAGGCCUUCGGGUUGUAAAGCCCUUUUGUUGGGAAAGAAAAGCAGCAGGUUAAUACCCCGCUGUUCUGACGGUACCCAAAGAAUAAGCACCGGCUAACUUCGUG